Long non-coding RNA from Mastomys coucha (southern multimammate mouse), 806 nucleotides. RefSeq lists it as uncharacterized. The transcript is spliced from 6 exons. The record is from RefSeq and is a predicted model, not a curated record. NCBI's taxonomy places the organism in Eukaryota, Metazoa, Chordata, Mammalia, Rodentia, Muridae.
UCUAUGAGGUAAUCUCACCUAUACUAAUUUCUGGGAAAUGAAUCUGGCAUAUGGCUGUGUCAGAGACUGGGGCUCCGGACAUAAGGUAUCUGUAUUUAAGAAUUCUGACAAAAUGCCCUUGUGAAGGAAGCUAUCCCAGAAUCAGAAAGAAAACAACACUCUCUCCUAGAUAGAAUGAUGGAGCUGAGGGACCCUGCAUCUUCUGGUCUCCAGGACCAUGUGAGGGAGUGUGAUAGACAUAGACAAAAAAAGGAAGAGGAAAAAGUUACCUACCACCUUGAAGCUUAAAGCUAUUGGUGACCCGCAGAUAAGUGAUGGAAAUCUUGCUCUCCUGGUGGCAUGUGGGUGAACAAGUCUUCUUGGAUGUCUAUCCCUUGGAAGCCUGAAUGAUGUUUCCUUUCUCCUUGGCUAACAGCCACAUGCUAGGGCCACAGCUCUGUCUCCCACUCUAGCUAAUAGCUGGUGACCUUUAAAAAUCUCAGCCACCUUGAAGACUAUGAGGCCUUGACUUGUGAGUCCAGCUUGUGAACCCAUUUGAGCUUUGCUCCACUCUGCACUGGGGGGAAAUUCUUGGCCCCUAUCACUGCCAGAGUCAGCUAAUCUCCAUGGAAUACUCAGAACCUCAAACUCCUGUGCUGUCCUCAGCCUCUGCUAAUCACUUCUAACCACGUCUACCUGAACCUUUCUGCUUCCUUGAAUGUUGAGGCCCACUCCAGCACCACCCCCAUUUUCAGUGUGAACAUGCCUAGUGCACUCAGGGUUCAGUAGGCUGGCCUGGAAUUCACCUGUUACAUCCCCUCUUCACU